This 69-nucleotide transfer RNA is filed under the name Corynebacterium sp. HMSC036D02. RNAcentral's name for it is "tRNA-Val". The record is from RNAcentral. Lineage: Bacteria; Bacillati; Actinomycetota; Actinomycetes; Mycobacteriales; Corynebacteriaceae.
GUGGCGUGGAAGUGCCCCAACUGGUUUACACCCAGUAGGUCGGGGGUUCGAUCCCCUCAGGCCGCACAA